CAGGAAUGGAAGCGCCGACGAGCUGCUGCCUGUCGCCGACCUCGACUUCCUCAUGCUCCCAGCCAUGCUGUUGCCCAGUUCAAUCAACUCUGAAACUAUCAGGUGUCCCCUCAAAUCCCCAUGCAAGGUCGUCGAGGAGCAACGUUGCAAUCGCCUCCGCUAAUGACGCCCUGUCACAGGGUUGUGCAGAACUUCUCGUGAUGGUCCUGCAGCAGGGGAUGACAGCUAACGUGUCGAUGAAUCAUUCAGGGUUUAAUUUAUGCAGACGGAAUAAAGAUCCAUGUUCAUCCCUCCAUUGUGUGCUGGUGCCAUACAUCAGUGUGUCACCUCAGAGCGAACCUAAGGUAGCAACCCCUGAAAUGCAUGUAUUUGGAAACUAUUUGUUAGUACACCAGGUGUCCUUUUGUUAUAGGUACACAUGCUAGCCUGUACAUCAGUUAAAAUUUGUAUUAUAUAUAUAUGGAUAUAAACAAUUUUUUUAGUUUGCACAACUAAUUGUUAACUACAUAUUUUUUUUGGAUAUGAACAAUUCUUAUUAGUUUUCAUAACUAAUUGUUAGCUACAUAUUUUUUUUACACUUCGAUUCUUAUCUCGAUAUUAUUUGUCACACAUUAUCUUUACGUUUUCCUUCCACUACACUACCCAGAGUGCCAAAAAAUACCACCACUCACUCACUAUAUGGCCCGGCGCCGCCGGACCGUUCAUUUUAGAGACUGUCAUGUCAUUUUAGAGAGUGCCGCCAAGCGAACUAAAUUCCACCAGAUCGUGUUUAACCAACCAACUCGACCUUCUUAAAGCUACUAGCUGCACGUAUACAAUGGUUAAAUUACUUGUAGGACAUGCUUCACUUGAAAGCACAGAGUGUUCACUUCAGAGAGUGUCGUGUCUAUGUGAUCUGUACUUCCUAUUAAUAGCAGGUUCCAUGUCUUGCCACAGUUAGUGUUUCGCUUCCUGCAUUUUGUUGUGUUAUAUAAAACUGUGGUCAAUCGAUCUACUUAAAACUAUCCCUUGUCUUUUAUGUCUUUAUAUGAACUGCCCUAUUUGGUGUAAUCAGUUUGCGCAGUAUUGACCUAUGGUCUCUAUAAACUGCUUCUUCCCCUGCUUAUCCAUUUCUUUUAUUCGUCAGUUUGCCGAGAACAAAGUUUUUGUUCUUUUCGCCAGUCCACCGAAGAUAUGCUUCAGUGAAUUAUUUUAACCGGGAAUGAAAUAUUGUUUCAUCCUUUCCCUAAUACAGAAAAGGCACUACAACCCUAAAUCUAGGCGGAACAGAAGAGGUUUUGCGCAUCAAUAGAUAUGUGCUUAUCGGUUUUUUGCAGCCAGUCCACUGGUUGAUCUAAGAAGCAUAUAUAGCUAUUGAACGACUCCUCAUCACCUCUAAAUAGCUAGCCUUUACAACGGUAUUGCCGAGCAGAUGCUAUCUCUAUAUUGUGCUCUAGAAGAGAUCAAGAGACAAGAUCGAUGAAGUAUCCAUUUGUGCUCACAUGUACUGCUCCUUCUCACAAGAUAAUGAGGAUACCAGACAAGAUUGCAGUAGGUUCCUGACAGUCACAUGCCAAAAAGCUCUUCCUCCAAAAAUAUAGCUAACCUUUGUUCAUGAAUGUUGAUUUUGCCCUGUAGUCUAAACUAAGAUAAGUUGCCCAACUUAAAAGCUGUUGCUUUUAAACUGUAAUUUAAGCUUUUGUCCAGAAACAUAUGUAGUUAUUCAAGUCCCCCAACUUCAGAUAAGUGCAUUUUAUACCCUGUAAUCUGAACUUACUGCCAUGGAUUGACUAUGUGCUUGGUCCCUUUAAUCUGGUAACGACAGACAAUACAAUAGCGGGCAACAGCAACUCAGAUCUCGGCAAUAUAGUCAGUACUUAUAAUUGCAUUGCGUGGUACACUCAAAAUGUUGCCGUUGCAUCUUACAGAUUUAACUCAGGUCUCCGGAGAUGGCAACUACAAGUGCUCGCUGCUUGAUAUAUCUGUAGAGGCUAAUGCACUUUCAAGUAAGGAUAUUGUGCUUAGGUGGCUUCUGCUUAAUUCCAAUAUAUUGUCUUAUAGUGGUCGGAUAUCCAUUGUAACAUAGUUUGUUGCUUCUCUUUUCUUUGGACCAUGUUGGUCCUUAUGGUUGU
Lolium rigidum is the source of this 2111-nucleotide long non-coding RNA. RefSeq lists it as uncharacterized. The transcript has 3 exons. NCBI's taxonomy places the organism in Eukaryota, Viridiplantae, Streptophyta, Magnoliopsida, Poales, Poaceae. The record is from RefSeq and is a predicted model, not a curated record.